UCAAAUUAAUUUUAUUAGCGAAAUUAACACCAAGCCGAUGAAUUGGAGGUUAAAGGUUCGUAUUGUCAGGCUUUGGGAAAAACCACUUCACAACAAACCUGAUAGUCCUUUUUCAACUGAGCUUAUUCUGAUGGAUGAAAAGGGCGGCCGCAUUCACGCAAGUGUUGGCAGGAAUAUUAUUCAAAGUUUGAAAAUGAUGAAACAAGAAAUCAAGGAAUUGGGUUUGUACAUCAUGAAGAAUUUCAUGGUUUGUCCAAAUAAGGAGAAACUGAGGAUCAAAGACCACAAGUGUAAGUUGAUUUUCACGCAGAAGACCAUUGUUGAGGAAAUACAGGAUCCAUAUUUUGACAUGUGUAUCUUCAAAUUCAAACCCUAUGAGCAGUUGUCUAAGGCUUGCCGACUUUGACGACACCGAACUAUUCGAUGUUAUCGGCCAAAUUGUGAGUUAUGGGGACGUACGAUACAUCAACCAAGAUGGUAACAUCCGGAUGUUCAUGAACGUUGAGUCAUAGGAUUAUAAGAGCAACAACAUAUCUGCAACAUUUUGGGGCGACUUUGUGGAACAGAUCAAGCCACAUUUGAUUGAAUCGAAUGAUAAGCCUGUUGUCGUCGUCAUGCAGUUUGUUAGAGCACAUCGAUUUCGAGAACAAUAUUCAGUGAGGAACACUUGGCACGUCUCCAAGCUUUGGAUCAAUUCACAACUUCCUCAAAUUGUUGACUUUAGCUCCAGGU
Molecule: long non-coding RNA, 732 nt
Organism: Lycium ferocissimum
Lineage: Eukaryota; Viridiplantae; Streptophyta; Magnoliopsida; Solanales; Solanaceae
Exons: 5
Source: RefSeq, a predicted model, not a curated record